Monodelphis domestica (gray short-tailed opossum) is the source of this 8997-nucleotide long non-coding RNA. RefSeq lists it as uncharacterized. Lineage: Eukaryota; Metazoa; Chordata; Mammalia; Didelphimorphia; Didelphidae. The record is from RefSeq and is a predicted model, not a curated record.
CUCGCGGGCUGCAAAACCCGACCCCGCCUCCUCACCUGUCAGACAGCAAGAGUUGGCAACGGACCGGAAGUGUCCCCGCCCCUGGACCAAGUCCAUCCCCCUACCAACUUCCGUGACGCUCUAGGAAGUCUGGGGGUACUGGGGACCUUUGUAGCCCGUCAGCUGGAACUGAUCCCGAAGGACAGCUCCUGCCACCUUCCCUUCACGCCCCGCCCCCACAAUCCCUCCCCAAAUCCCCAGAAGUAGAAGGCGGGGAGUUCAUUCCACUUAAGUCUCCACCAUUGUCUCUGGUAUUUGCUAGGUCUUUCUUUUGACUUGAUCCAGGUUUUCUUUCCACCCACUCCAGUCCUGAUAGCCUGUUUAGACAAAAUUGUCUAUGCUCAGUGAACCUCUUGGAUUCAGAGAAUAUUGGGAUAGCUGAUUUGGCUGAGGCAAUAAGCAGGAGGAAAAUGGGCAGAAGGCAGCUGAAUAGUGGGCCAGUCCAGAGAUGGAGAGCUCCAGAGUUAAGACCUUUGCCCAUGAGGAUAGUAGGAGACUGGGCAGAGCCCUGAGAAGUGUCAAAUUUCCCUACUCGACGACUGAAUCAGAAGGAAACAUCCCACCAGAAAAGAGAAACACAGAGGAUGAAGGCACAAAAAGAUAUAGAGACAGCCAGCUGGCGUGGGAAACAGCUUCAAGAGGUACAAUUCCUUGAACUGGAUUGCUGGUAAGGGACUCAGGAAAAGGCUUACAGUUUAGCAGGGGCUGGACAAUAGGGGACCCAGCCCUCAGAUGUGUUGAGUCUGCACCCACAUGGGUGCUGAGGCAUCCUGCUUCCUAAAAAGCAGAAUAAAGGACUUCAGAAUAUACAAGCUAUCCUGUAUUUCCUGUUGGCUCACUAUAUAUAAAGAGAGGCUUUUAAAUGGAUGCCCAACAGAACUCCAUGUGUUAAAAGGCACCAAUAAGCUUAAUAUAGUUUUCCUCAUUUCUGUUCACAGAUGUAUGGAUGACUUUUGAGUUCUAGAGGGCUAGUGAGGGAACUGUGAUUCUCCUCAACGCUCAACGGACUGACUUGUGAGCUCAUAGUCUCCUAGUGUAAGGGGUAAAAAUUAUGGUUGGACUGAAUAUUUGAGGGUUGGUUGCCAGGGAUUUAAUUACUAAAUCCCAAUUAAUUACUCAAGUCAGAAUGGUUUUUUUUUUUUGGUAGUUUAUUUACAAAUAGAAGAAAUUAAGGAAAUGAGAGAAAGAGAGAGGGAGAGAGAUAGAUGCUCUGACCUGUUCUGAACCAGGCAGGAAUUCAGAGGCCCCAACAAGGGGGGGUGGGGGAGGUGGCAGAGGAUAAAAUUUAACUUGGCUUCCAGUCACGAGGCCUCCUCCAAGAUGAGGGGCCUUUUCAGAGGCUAGUGCCUCCAGAAAAGCCAAGGAAAGGGAGUCAGCCUUUCACUCACCAUGUGACAGUCUAAAAGGAAGCAGUCUGAGAUAUCCAGCCUGAGUUCCUUCACAGUCAAGUUCCAAGGUGAAGACGCCUCACAGGAAGUGACCACAGAAUUUAAAGGCAGCUUUUGUGUCACUUCCUGUGCCUUACAUGUACCAAUGAUGGCUUAAACUUGGCUUUGGCCUGCCCAGGGGGCAGUCAGUUGUUUCUGAUUUGUCACUUGCUAGCACACAUGGGUCAUAGACCUUCCUCCCCCACACUAAAUCCUUAAGUGAGGGUGUAUAUAUUCCUGGUGGCUAAAAUUCUAAAGAAUAAGUAGAGUGGAGUUAAUCUCAAUUUCACACUAGACAAACCUUUAUCAAUGACAGGGACAACAAACUUCUAUUUAUAUCUUCUCUCUAUUGGUACAUGGCCUUUAAUGAGAAGUUAUGGGAUAUUCUGUGUCACAUGUGAGAGCCGACUUUGCCAUGGACUUUUAGAUACUUGUGAGAGUCUGCCUGUUAGAAUUAAAAUUAAUCUUGGAGACAUAGUAAUUUAUAAUUAUUAGUAAAAGAGAAAGAGAGAAAGAAAAAUAUCAUCAAGUCACCCUUAACUACCUUAGUCUACUGGCUGCACUGUGAAGUUUCAGUGGUAAGAGGGCCCAACCAGAUGGUCAGCCCAGAUAAGAGCCAAGAAAAAGGACCUGCUAUUGCUUGGCCCCAUCUUUUAUAUGGCCAGUGAUGUUACUCCUACUGGGUUCUCUAAUAGGACAGUCUGGGUCAUGAGUUUUGACCUCACCCUCCAAGCAAGGGCUACUGCCAGCUGGUUCAGGAAGUCAGGGCUUCAGUUUGCCAUUCUGUCUCCCUCCUCACAUGACUUGGCAUUCUUUCUUAAUGCUCAUAUGCCAGGUAAGGGACUAUAUUAUUAUGUUUCAUACAUGCCCCAGACUUUUGUGGGAAGAAAUGGUUUCUACCAAUUGUUUUUUAUUAUACCACCUUGGUAAAUACCUUUUGCUAAAAACCUAAUUCCUGUCUAUUGACUGAUUAAAUUGGAACAUAUACCAGUGGAAUGAUAUUAGAAACUCUAGCAACUUUCAGUUACUAGCAUACAUGCACACAUACAUGUUAGAUAUAAACAUAUAAACAUACAUACUGUGUGUGUAAUAUAUGUGACUUCUAGGUCAUGUGACCAAAAAGAUGAAGACAUAUAUAUCUAGGGUAGAGGCCUGGACUGGUAGAAUGCCCAGCAUGGUAGGAGCAAAAUGCUCUGAGAUCAAGCUCUCAGGGAAAUCACCACUAGAGGGAAGAGUGAGAAAGUGGGGAAUAGGGAAAAUUGAAGGGAGGAGUGCUAAAAUUACCAAAGAUCUUAGGAAGAAGAAAACUGAGACCUUUGUAAAGAUUAAAAUUUGGGGAAGCUGAGGCAGGUAGAAAUUAGUUUCUCUGCCAGGAGUAUAGUUUUUUUAGAGGUUUAUUAAAGGUUAAGGAUUAAAGAAAAUACAGAAUAAGAAAGCACGUGUCUAGGCCCAGAGAGGCCUAGACAACCUCACCUACAUUAUGAAAAAGACACGUCUGCUUGUUAGUGGCAACAGGAAAGCCCAGAGACCCCGCCGAAGGCAGAGACCCUUUAAAUAAUAAUUUGCUCUUGGCCCAGUUGAGAAUUCAGUGAGAUUACAAAGCAUUCUGGGGAAGUGGAGCAAGGACUUCUGGGGAUUGAAGUCCUGGAUUCAAGUCUCCAUUUUUAAACCUUGGACAUAAGCAGAUGUUAAUAGAAAGAAAGCAUUAAUCGCAGAAACAAAUAUGGAAAACAGAUCUAGUAAACAAAUUCAGGGACCAAUGAAGAAAUACUAAAAAACAAGAAAAGGGAAAAUGAUCUACAUUUUAUGAAACAGAUGUGAAUCUUGAAAUUUCUCAGACUUGUGAAUGUUAAAAAAAUUCCCCAUUGGGGAAUCUUUCAUUGGGACAAUUCCCUAUUAGGGACCAUUCCCCAUCUAAAAUGUGAAAACUCUACUUGGAUCAGAAAUGGGAGGACCUCUACUCCACCCAUACUUAGGACUGCUUUAGGGGAGAAAACUCCUUGCUGAACAAUGAGAAAUGCUUACACCCAUACUUAAGUCAUGCCUAUUUUUAGAAUUAAUACAAUGGGGUGCUAAGUACCUAUUAAAGGUCAGGCAACUUGUAAACUUGCCAGGACAAAAAGGUGAGAAACUUACUCAGAUAUUCUAAUCUACUCAGCUAUGAAUUCAGAAUGGGCUGUCCUUUGAAAAACAUCUACUGUGGUUGGUAGAUGUAAGAAUUUAGGGGAGGUGACAAAGGAAAAAAUUCCCUAUAUAAGGAAAAGAAAAAGUCUCUUGAGGACAGUCAGAAGAAUCCCUCUCUGGAGAAGGAUGGCUGGCUGAACUGGUGUCUAUAUUCUUGCUUGGACAGAUCCUGUGGUGAGUGAUAAAAGACUGACUGAUCUCUUUCUCAGACUCAGGUCUAGGCCAUGUUGGCUUAAGGCCCUUCAUACUUAUCCCUUUUUUACUCUUUCUCUCUUUCUUUAAUUCCUCAUUUUAUUAUAAAUUAAAUUCUCUAUAAAACCCAGUUGACUUGGGUAGAUUCAUAAUUGGGAAUAUUUCCUUGGCAACCACCUUAUAUUUGAUUUAAAACAAGACACUGUGGUGAAAACAUAUUUCCUGCGGUCACAAUUUACUCACCCACUAUUAUAUCUACUACAAUUUAUAACCUCAACCAUUUUAACUCUUACAGGUUAAGGCAUCCACUCUUUUAAUUAUCACACAGAGAACUCCUUAGAAUUUGAGAUGAUUGAAUCACAACAAAAUUUCUAGAAAAGAAAAACAAGAAUUAUUUGAGCAGAAUUUAUGACUUCUACACCAAAUAACUGGCAGAAUAGAAAAUCAUGAAGCUUUCUCAUCAAAGAAACAGAGAGAACAAUGGAUUGGGAAUAUAAGUACAGAAGUGAGCUAAGAUGGUGGUAUGAGAUGAGCAUUUUUUCUGAGCUCUCUCAACACAUCUCUCUAAAGUACUAUAAAAAGCAUGUCAAAGCAAAUGUGAGGGAAGUAACGAACAAAAGUCGCAGAAUUCUUUUUUCAGUUCAAGGCAGCUUAGGAAGAUAAAGAGGUCUACAGACAAUGGAGUAAGGGCUAGAUAACAUAUUGUAGCAGCACUGGCUAUAGGGACACUCGCAGGAGCAACCCAGCACAAAAGGACAGUAAAGAUACUGUAAACCUGGUCAGAAAGAGUGAGGAGGUGGGCACCUGGGUGACUUAAUGAAUUGAGAGCCAGGCCUAGAGUCGGGAGGUCCUAGGUUCAAAUUUGGCUUUGGACACUUUCUAGCUAUGUAAAUAAGAACAGUAUAAGAAAAAUUGGGAAAGGAAAUGAGAGCAAUACAAGAAAAUUAUGAAGAGAAUUAAUAUCUUGGUAAAAGAGAUACAAAAAUGCUGAAGAAAGUAACUUCUAAAAAAUUAGCACUGGUCAAACGAUAGGAGGCAAUUAAGUGAAAGAUGAGGACUGUUGAAAUAAAGGCCCAGUUAGAUUGGAUAACCUGAAUUUGUGAUCUUUAUAAGUAUGUGGUUUCCUUUAGCAAUGUCAAGCAGUAACAAAUUAGGAAAAAAUUUUCAUAAUAAAAACUUCUGACAAAGGCCUCAUUUCUCAAAUUUAUAAAGAACUAAGUCAAUUACAAAAAAUCUAGCCUUUCCCCAAUUGACAAAUGGUCAAGUGAUAUGAAUAGGCAGUUUUCAGAUCAAAACUCUCAGUAAGCACAUGAAAGCAUUCUAAAUCUCUUAUAAUUAGAGAAAUGCAAAUCAAAACAACACUGAGAUACCACCUCACACCUAUCAGAUUGGCCAAAACGACAUUAAAGGAAAAGAACGUUGGAGGGGAUGUGGCAAAAUUGGGACACUGAUGCAUUGUUGGUGGAGUUAUACAUUAAUCCAGUCAUUCUGGAAGGUAAUUUGGAACUAUGCCCAAAGGGCUUUAAAAGAAUGCCUGCCCUUUGAUUCAGCAAUACCACUUCUGGGUUUGUACCCCAAAGAGAUAAUAAGGAUAAAUACUUGUACAAAAAUAUUUAUAGCCAUGCAUUGUGGCAAAAAAAUGAAAAGUGAGGGGGUUAUCCUUCGAUCAGGGAAUAACUGAACAAAUUGUGGUAUAUGAUGGUGAUGGAAUACUAUUAUGCUGUUAGGAUUGAUGAUCUGGAGACUUUCCAUAUGAACUGGGAGAACCUCAAUGAACUGAUGCAAAGUGAAACAAGCAGAACCAGAAGAACAAUGUACACAGAAAAUAAAACAUGGGAAAAUCCAAUGUAAUAGACUUUGCUACUAGUAGCAAUGCAACAAGCCAGGAUACUCCUGAAGGACUUAUGUAAAAGAAUGCUCUCCACGUUGAAAGAACUAUGGGAGUAGAAAUGCAAAAGGAGAACAUAUGACAUCACUUAUCACAGGUAUAUACAAGUAAACCCAUGAAAUGGCCAAGAUCUAAACGUAGAAUCAAAACGUCUAUCAUGGAUAACAACCGCAUGAACACAACAAUAUGUCUACAGUUCUUUGCUGAAAAAUGAGCUAAAACUAUGAAUUGACUCAUUGAAAGGAGGGAUUUAUAGUGUUAAUUCAGGAUCAGGUCACCAGAAAUUUUAAAUAGAUCAUUAUCCUCAUGAUGAUCAGACUUAAGAGCAGAAAAAACUGUAGAUUGAAAAAAUCUUAGUACCUAUUGAACACCUAAUAAGACAUGUCUUGGUAGCCAGACUUGUACACCAGAAGAACCAAAAGAUAACAAAAUCAUCAUGAUACAAAUACUGACUUUUAAAUAGUUUUUGAGACUUAAUAAAAUAAGCUAUUUCAGAACCUGAGCAUUAUUACAGACAAAAUUCUUGUCCACAAUCUCCUGGAUAUAAUACUGAACCCUAAAAUUUUAAGAAUGUUUUUGAUAAAUAUCAUAAUUAAUAUGUAAAAUCUAAACAUCAUUGAAUGAAAAGCUUUUAAAAUGGAAAACCAAGUGGAAAAAAUAAGAAUCAUGUGAGAACCAGAUGUGGUAUAUCUCCAUGAUCCUAUCUGCUAUUGGAGUUUUGUCCUCAGGAUGCUCUCAGUGUUCCUAAAGAAGAUAAACAUAAUCUCACUACUUUUAAUUAUAAAAAGUAGUUAUUUUAUCUACCUAUGAAAAGUUUUAGAUAUAAAAAAUACAGGAUAGGGGGCAGCUGGGUAGCUCAGUGGAUUGAGAACCAGGCCUAGAGAUGGGAGGUCCUAGGUUCAAAUCUGGCCUCAGCCACUUCCUAGCUGUGUGACCCUGGGCAAGUCACUUGACCCCCAUUGCCUAGCCCUUACCACUCUUCUGCCUUGGAGCCAAUACACAGUAUUGGCUCCAAGACAGAAGGUAAGGGUUUUAAAAAAAAAUACAGGAUAACAGUUUGUCCUAGAACUAUUUAUCAAUCAGUCAACAUUGAAUGAAUGCCUACUUUGUGACAAGAACUGUGCUUAGCACUAAGAAUACAAAAAAGGGGGGGGGGGCAAAGAUAGUCCUUCCCCCAAAGAGCUCAUAAUUUAAUGGAUUUCUAUUUUUUUAAAAAAGAUGAGAAUGGAUUAAAUACUUGUAGAUAUUUAUAAAGUGCUUUAAAGUCUGCAAUGUGCUUUUUUAAAUAGAGGGGACAAAUAGGGAAGCUCCCAGCUGCAGGGCCCUGAGCCACUUCUGCUAUGUCCUGAGUGCCAAAGGACUUGGUACUUUAGGCUGAUGCAGCAAACCUUAGUUGGUCCUUCUGUGUCCCCCAUAAUGGCUCCAUCUAUGGGAGACUGUGUUUAUUUAAACCCUUAUGUUAAGAUUAAAAUUCUCUGGAAAGUGUAUCCUAAUUUUAAUUAGCCACAUGUGGCCAACUGUUCCCUUCAGAAGCCUCCUCUCCCAGUUGGCUGCACUACUUUUACAGGCAGACCUCAGGUAUGAGGUGCUCUCAAGGCCAGCCUCCAAUCUCUACAGUGUCAUGCAUGUGCUGGGGCUCCCCUAGCCAGAACUCACCGGUACUGGUGCGGGUGCUCUCCUAGCCACCCCAACUCCCACCCCAGCCAAGUAUGUCAGCACUCUCCUGGCCACUUUUUGCUCAGCAGUCAGUCCCAAGAUAAAAGAGAGCUACUUCCUUUCUUAAGUCCAAUUUAUGUUUCUCCUAUCAUCCCUUUUCUGAGCCUCUCUGAUUUGGCAGACUCCGACUUCAGUCCAGAUCAGAGGUGGUCUUCUAGAUGCCAGGAGUCACCAAGUGGUCCCUAGAAUAGUGCACAGCACAGGUACAGUGCCAACUAGCAUUGGAGGGAAGACACUUCCCAUCCCCUCAGAGAUACAGUUCAUAGGUUCAGAAGUAAGAUCCUUUAUUUAAAAAUCCAAAGUCAUCACACUUAACUUCUGUCUUAGAAUGAAUGGUAUCAGCUCUAAGAUAGAAGAAGGGUUGGGGCUAGACAACUGGGGUUGAGUGACUUGUCAAGGGUCACACAACUGGAAGCAUCUGAGGGCACAUUUGACCCCAGGACCUCCCAAUACCAGGCCUGGAUCUAUCCACUGAGCAACCUAGCUGCCCUGGCAUAUCAGUUUAAAAAGAGAGUUUCCACUUUCUCUUCCAUGUUAGUUUGGAAAUCUCUAUCCCUUGUACCUCUUGGAGUGGCUGUAAAGGGGCAAUCUUCCUCCUCCUUGGCAAAAAUUUCAACUGCUCACAUGUGGAGCAGGUAUUCAUCCAGGCGAUCCUGAGCUGGGGUUUCAAUUGCUGCUGCCUCUUGUUUUUUUUCUUGAGCAUAUGCACACAAUCAGCGAUCCUGAGAUAGAGGUUUCUACCCUUGAACGAAACCUUGUGAAUUUGAGAUGCCAGGAGCUCCUGGGUCUCUUUGCCAGUGCUGUCUGAACUAAAGGAUGUGCCUUUUAUAGCUACUACUUUUUCUUGGAGGAGGUGACCUCCCACAGGAGAAUGAGCACAGUCACUGGUCUGAUUUGCCCAAUAUAGACUUUGAUGGAAUUUUUUGGAAAGUACAGAACUGAGAGGUAAAGGUGAAAUGUUUAUUCAGCAGUCUCACUAAAUACUUCAUGUUUUAAUACUUUAAAUACCAACUUCUUGUGAGAGUAAAAUAGCAUUAAUUCAUUUAAAAUUCUUACCUUCCAUUUUAGAAUCAAUACUGUUCCAAGGCAGAAGAGUGGUAAGGGCUAAACAAUGGGGGUUAAGUGACUUGCCCAGAAUCACAUAGCUAGGAAGCAUCUCUGGCCACAUUUGGACACGGGACCUCCCCUCUCUAGGCCUGGUUCUCAAUCUACUGAGCCACCUAACUGCCCCCCUAAAACAGUAUUUAUAAGUGAUUGUGUUUUAUGUUUGUCUUUUUUUCAUUUUUAUUUUUUAAAAAAACCCUUAUCUUCUGUCUUAGAAUCAAUACUGUGUAUUGGUUCUAAGGCACAAGAGUGGUAAGGGCUAGGCAAUGGGGAUUAAAUGACUUGCCCAGGGUCACACAGCUGGAAAGAGUCUGAGGCCGGAUUUAAACCCAGGACCUCCCAUCUCUAGGCCUGGUUCUCAAUCCACUGUUUCUUUUUUCAAUGCAUGUUUAUGAAUCUUUUAAGAAUUACUUUUGUGUAGGAAAUAAACAUCUGUCAUGCUCAAUC